Molecule: non-coding RNA, 812 nt
Organism: Salmo salar (Atlantic salmon)
Lineage: Eukaryota; Metazoa; Chordata; Actinopteri; Salmoniformes; Salmonidae
Source: RefSeq, a predicted model, not a curated record
AUAAGGUGAAUGCACCAUUUUGUAAGUCGCUCUGGAUAAGAGCGUCUGCUAAAUGACUUAAAUGUAAAUGUAAAGAAGGUAAGACCUUUAGGCAGUUUUAUGUAAUAUUUCAUCUUAAUCAAUUCAAUUUCAAUCAUAAAAUUCACUGAUGCAUGUAUGCUGUAUUUCAACAUAUGUUUAUCUUUACCUGGUUCAUACAGUCCAUCACAGGAUCCUCAGUCUCUCAAAAUGUGGUUAUGUCCGGUAUUUGCUGGAGAAAUAGUGGAAGAAGAGGGGAGACAUGCCUCCCCUGCAGCCCAAGCACAUGAGGAAGGCUGUCAGGAGGCUAAAGAACAGAGCAGAUCCCCAAUAUAAAGCACAAUAACAUUCUCUUCCACUGAGCCACUCAUGCCUUGCUGAUUAUAGAUGGACAGAGCCAAGCAGGGAUGUAUUCCACCUUUUAGAUGGUGGCAACUUACACACCACUUUAUCAUGUUCAUUCUCUCUAUUCCAAUGUCCACUGGCAUUGAGAAUGUCUGGCCAUGAAGGCAAAUGCAGUAUACUGCUGUCAGGAAUAGUCCAACUCCAAAGUCAAUCUCUGUGUUAGUUGAGGGUAUUUAUUGGAUAUACUUGUCAAUAAUAGAAUAGCAUCAAGGUUUGAUGAAAAUAUUAGAUCUACUUAUUAUUUGAGCUGAAGCAUAAAGGAUGUAUCCAACAUUGGUCCCUGCUAGUGCCUCAUGGAAAAAAGUGUUUUAAUACAGAAUUUGGGUCAAUAAGACAUUUCAAUAAAUAAAAUGUAUCUUCUCAUUAGAGGACAGGUAAAGUCUCGUAAA